RNAcentral lists this unclassified non-coding RNA (182 nucleotides) under soil metagenome. Its description in RNAcentral is "partial internal transcribed spacer 1". The record is from RNAcentral.
CCGAGUUUACAACUCCCAAACCCAAUGUGAACGUUACCAAACUGUUGCCUCGGCGGGGUCACGCCCCGGGUGCGUAAAGGCCCCGGAACCAGGCGCCCGCCGGAGGAACCAACCAAACUCUUUCUGUAGUCCCCUCGCGGACGUACUUCUUACAGCUCUGAGCAAAAAUUCAAAAUGAAUCA